UACGUAGGGCGCAAGCGUUGUCCGGAAUUAUUGGGCGUAAAGAGCUCGUAGGCGGCCUGUUGCGUCCGCUGUGAAAUCCCGGGGCUCAACCCCGGGCCUGCAGUGGAUACGGGCUGGCUAGAGGCAGGCAGGGGAGAACGGAAUUCCUGGUGUAGCGGUGAAAUGCGCAGAUAUCAGGAGGAACCCCGGUGGCGAAGGCGGAUCUCUGGGCCAUUACUGACGCUGAGGAGCGAAAGCGUGGGGAGCGAACAGG
RNAcentral lists this ribosomal RNA (253 nucleotides) under uncultured bacterium. RNAcentral's name for it is "partial 16S ribosomal RNA". It matches the Rfam family "Bacterial small subunit ribosomal RNA", at positions 524 to 776 of the family's 1533-position model. The record is from RNAcentral.